RNAcentral lists this ribosomal RNA (649 nucleotides) under uncultured bacterium. RNAcentral's name for it is "bacterial SSU rRNA". It matches the Rfam family "Bacterial small subunit ribosomal RNA", at positions 191 to 859 of the family's 1533-position model. The record is from RNAcentral.
AUGUACGAGGAGAAAGGAUUUAUUCGCUGAGGGAUGGGCCUGCGGCCUAUCAGGUAGUUGGUGGGGUAAAGGCCUACCAAGCCUGCGACGGGUAGCCGGACUGAGAGGUCGACCGGCCACACUGGAACUGAGACACGGUCCAGACUCCUACGGGAGGCAGCAGUGGGGAAUAUUGCACAAUGGGGGAAACCCUGAUGCAGCGACGCCGCGUGGAGGAUGACGGCCUUCGGGUUGUAAACUCCUUUUGUCAGGGACAAUGGUGAUGGUACCUGACGAAUAAGCCACGGCUAACUCUGUGCCAGCAGCCGCGGUAAGACAGAGGUGGCGAGCGUUGUUCGGAAUUACUGGGCUUAAAGGGCGCGUAGGCGGUGGUGUAAGUCUGGGGUGGAAUGCUACAGCUCAACUGUAGAGCUGCCUUGGAAACUGCAUUACUUGAGUCGGUGAGGGGAAGGCGGAAUUCCUGGUGUAGCGGUGAAAUGCGUAGAUAUCAGGAGGAAGGUCUGUGGCGAAGGCGGCCUUCUGGCACUUGACUGACGCUGAGGCGCGAAAGCGUGGGGAGCAAACAGGAUUAGAUACCCUGGUAGUCCACGCCCUAAACGGUGGGUAUUAGGUGUGGGGCCUUCAUGGGUUCCGUGCCGUAGCGAAAGCA